This 200-nucleotide ribosomal RNA is filed under the name uncultured bacterium. RNAcentral describes it as "partial 16S ribosomal RNA". It matches the Rfam family "Bacterial small subunit ribosomal RNA", at positions 8 to 207 of the family's 1533-position model. The record is from RNAcentral.
AGAGUUUGAUCCUGGCUCAGGACAAACGCUGGCGGCGUGCGUAACACAUGCAAGUCGGACGGGCGCCAGGCUUCGGUCUGGUGGCUAGUGGCGGACGGGUGAGUAACACGUGGAUGACCUACCCUCCGGUGGGGGAUAGCUCGCGGAAACGCGGGGUAAGACCGCAUACGCUACACGGGAGCGAUCCGGUGUAGGAAAGG